AACGGUCUAUACCUGCGGUACCUGCGGAGGGAUCAUUAUCAAUUUACAGCGGACUUCGGUCCUGUCUGCACCCUUGUCUUUUGCGUACUAUAUGUUUCCUCGGUGGGCUUGCCUGCCGAUAGGACACCUAUAAACUCUUUUGUAAUUGCAAUCAGCGUCAGAAAACUAUAAUAGUUACAACUUUCAGCAACGGAUCUCU
This 199-nucleotide unclassified non-coding RNA is filed under the name soil metagenome. Its description in RNAcentral is "partial contains 5.8S ribosomal RNA, internal transcribed spacer 2, and large subunit ribosomal RNA". The record is from RNAcentral.